This 588-nucleotide ribosomal RNA is filed under the name Crustomyces sp. E4. RNAcentral describes it as "eukaryotic LSU rRNA". The stretch from base 197 to 350 matches the Rfam family "5.8S ribosomal RNA". The record is from RNAcentral. Lineage: Eukaryota; Fungi; Basidiomycota; Agaricomycetes; Agaricales; Cystostereaceae.
CCAUGUGGAUUAGUUGUAGCUGGCCUCUCGGGGCAUGUGCACGCUUUUCUGCAAUUGUUCUCCAUCCACCUGUGAACAUUUUGUAGAUUUGCGAGAGAUAGAAAGAAGGGCAACCUUCUGACGAAGACUCGCGGUCUAUGUUUUAUAAACUCUAACGAAUGUCUAAGAAUGUCUUGUUAUAUUCAAACAUAAAUAUAACUUUCAGCAACGGAUCUCUUGGCUCUCGCAUCGAUGAAGAACGCAGCGAAAUGCGAUAAGUAAUGUGAAUUGCAGAAUUCAGUGAAUCAUCGAAUCUUUGAACGCACCUUGCGCUCCUUGGCAUUCCGAGGAGCAUGCCUGUUUGAGUGUCAUUAAAUUCUCAACCUUUCCAUUUUGUAAUGAAAUGUUGAAAGGCUUGGAUUGUGGAGGUUUGCUGGCUCUAGUUAGUCAGCUCCUCUGAAAUGCAUUAGCGGAGACUUGUAGGGCAUCUCCCUUGGUGUGAUAAUUAUCUACGCCUUGGUUGACUACAAAAGCUUUGCUUUCUAAUCGUCGCAAGACAAUUAUCAAAUUUUGACCUCAAAUCAGGUAGGACUACCCGCUGAACUUAAG